Molecule: long non-coding RNA, 443 nt
Filed under: Arabidopsis lyrata
Lineage: Eukaryota; Viridiplantae; Streptophyta; Magnoliopsida; Brassicales; Brassicaceae
Description: long non-coding RNA (ALYR_LNC001867)
Source: RNAcentral
UGCUUGUCUUCUCUGGUUUCUGGUGUGGUAGUGAUGAUUAGGAUCUGUGCUCUGAUCCUCUUUUAUCUGUGCUCGUUUCUGCUCGGGGUGUGGUUGUGUGAGCUUGUUUUUGUAUCCUUCUCGGGCCUUCUUGUAAAGGCAAUCUAAUGAUGGGUCCUCUGGUUGCUCCUGUUUGUAACCACUUUCCAGCGCCCAAAAUGUUCUAUGGAAAUGUUCGUCGGAUUCUUUUCGUGAAGAGUUUGCAGUUGUGUUGCUUGAGUCUUAGAUAUUAGCAUUUCCGUGUACUUUAAGGUUUUCCUUCUUUUAUGUCUUCAUUUUUUGGCUUUUGUCUCUGGGGGUUUCCAUGUACCCGCCGGCUUAGUUUUCCGGGAGUUAGAGUCCCGCCGGCGUUAGUAUUUCACCAUGUAUCCCAACUUUGUAUUUCUCCCUUGGUUAUAUUUCAU